CACACAGGUGCUGCAUGGCUGUUGUCAGCUCGUGUCGUGAGAUGUUGGGUUAAGUCCCGCAACGAGCGCAACCCUCGUCCUUAGUUGCAACCAUUCAGUUGUGCACUCUAAGGAAACUGCCGGUGAUAAGCCGGAGGAAGGUGGGGAUGACGUCAAGUCCUCAUGGCCCUUACACGCUGGGCUACACACGUGCUACAAUGGCGGUGACAGUGGGUUGCCACCUCGCGAGAGGGCGCUAAUCCCAAAAAGCCGUCUCAGUUCGGAUUGCACUCUGCAACUCGAGUGCAUGAAGGCGGAAUCGCUAGUAAUCGCGGAUCAGCAUGCCGCGGUGAAUACGUUCCCAGGCCUUGUACACACCGCCCGUCACACCAUGGGAGUUGGAUUGACCCGAAGGCUGUGGGCUAACCCGCAAGGGAGGCAGCAGACCACGGUCGGUUCAGCGACUGGGGUGAAGUCGUAACAAGGUAACC
This 470-nucleotide ribosomal RNA is filed under the name uncultured bacterium. RNAcentral's name for it is "bacterial SSU rRNA". It matches the Rfam family "Bacterial small subunit ribosomal RNA", at positions 1031 to 1501 of the family's 1533-position model. The record is from RNAcentral.